Molecule: non-coding RNA, 952 nt
Organism: Anas platyrhynchos (mallard)
Lineage: Eukaryota; Metazoa; Chordata; Aves; Anseriformes; Anatidae
Source: RefSeq, a predicted model, not a curated record
GCUCAUCACAGUCAUUUACACAAGGAAGCGGCAGAGCAUUUGCCCAGAAUGGUUCUUCUGGUGAUAAAGAAACAGAUUUAAAUAGGAGGACUUUGUGAAGAACCUACACAAAGCUCCACUGAAACUCCCAUCCUGAUACUGUGAAGUCCCAAAACCUCAUUCCCACCUGAGGGAGGAGGGAGGCCUUGUCACCCACACACCCAGGGCGGGAUUUCUGUGUUUGCUUUGUUUUGUUUUUUAAAAAAAUCGUCAUCUCUAAUGCAAUGCACCUGACAUCUCGUGUCAUGUGCUUUCCUCAUCCUUUUUCACACUUGUUCCUUGUGUUUCCUUUCCUUCUUCUUCUUCUUUUGUAUUGUGACUCCCCCUGUAUCUGAGCACAUAUCCCUUUUCCUGGGCAUCGGAGACAUGCUGAAGUGCCGACACCUGCAGGGUGGGCUCCUUAACCUGAGCUGGACAUCCCUCGACAGUCAGCAGAGGCACUCACGGGAGCAGUUCUGCCCACAUUUCAGACAUCUAAACAUCUGGUCCUGCUGAAGAGGAAGCAUGUAGUAUGAGACAACUGAUGCACAUGAGAGGGCUGCUGGACACUGUCCUGGGGCAACCAGGAGCAUCUGCCUAGCCUGGGGACUCCGUUGGGACCUCCUUUGCCAGGAGAGAAGCUGGGAUUGUUGUCCAUGGGACAGUCACAGCCCUGGAAGAAGCCUGGCUGGCCAUCCCAAGGAAGUGCCCUGAGUGUGGGCACGCCACAAGGGGAGCAUGACCUGGGAGGAGGGUGGCAGCCGUCUCUUUGGCACCAUCACUGCUGCAGGCAGAGGGCUGGGUCCAGGGUAAUUCCUUAAUGACCGCACCGAGGAGCACAGAUGGGGCUUGCUGGCUGCUAAUUCAGCUUUCCCAGGGUAAUGCUUCCUCCAGUUUCAUGCCUUUCCCUCUAAUAAAGUUCUGCUCAUCCCAA